CAACUGCAACUUUACGCUGGUGAACGGUGGUUACAUCACGCGCUACUGAUGGCGGCACACUGCAGUUUAAUUGGUAUAGCUACACUCACGAGAUUCCACAAUACACUGCCGCGAAUCCAUAUUGGGAAAAUGUCCGGUAUGCAAAAAGAUUCGGUAACAGCUCGACCGGAAGAGGCGGAACGAAGCGGAAAAAAUCAAAACACAGGGAUUUGAUGUAACAAUAAUAAGCCCAGUGCACGACGACGCGACGCAAAUAGCUGACAUUUUCCGGUGGGUGUGUUGUGGAUCUGUGGCCAUUGUCUCGUACUGCUCAUCGUUUCUCAUGCCGCAAAUAGCACCAGUUCAUGCGUAAAUUCGGGAUGGAAAAAUUUUACUGACGAUAAUAGAAUCAAAGCGGAACCACAAACGGCGCUUAUACAACGUAUAAAAUGGAGUUAUGUGACAAAAACAUACGCAACAAGUGGCCGUGGCCGUGAUUUAGUGAUUGUGGAGAGACGAAGCUGACACAUGGUGGAAAGGAAAGCCGUUUGCAUUACCCAUCAGAAUUACUGGUUAGCUGUGUAGGUGUCGGUCCAGUUGUGGCUGUGUGGGUGUCGGUCCAGUUGCAGUUGCUGGCCUGCACAGUGAAUUCGACGCUGGCCCCGCCGUCGAUGGAUGGAGUAGUGCGCAGAUGGCCAGCCCAAGGAAACUACAGCAAGUCAGUUAAAAAGACGAGUGAGGACAAGGAAAUGCAUGAGCGUUUGUAGGCAGUCCAUUUACCUCAAGGCAGCCUGCUUGUUCGCAGAAAUCGUACAUAGCUUUGUCGACCGUUUGAUACUCUGUGGUGUUGCCGGUAACCAGCACCGUCACGUCGUGAACAUCGUUCCAGGUGCAGCCGGCAUCCUUCAGGAUGGCGCGCGUGAAUUUCAUGAUCUUCAUGGAUUCGUUGUAGGUGCCGCGCGUGCCGAAGCUUUUUGGGUCGUUGAGGUCGUGGAAGGCGCGAAGUGAGCUCAAGUACAGGAUCGGACCGACACGGACGGCGUAUCUGACAAUAAGAGUGAAUAACAGCACAAUGAAGUUAUGCUUAUCAUGAAAAGCAGAAUAAAAGUAAUAAGAAAAAUAAUCGGAGAGGUUCGAUCUGCACGCAAAUUACGCUCGAUAUGUUAUACAAAGUAACUUUAUUUUCUUACACUGUCUGUGCCGGGUCCCGACAGUUUGAUAAGCGUACAUUUCUCAAUUGCUACUAUGGAAGGUGUAGAAGCGUUUUACUGACCAGGGCAGCGUCACCGGCCCCCCUCUCAGAAAAAUUUCAUUUUUUGCAGGGUUGCAGAGUAACACUAGGGUAUGCUUAAAAAAAUAGUUUCAUCUGCCAUGGUCAGUAGGGCGUGGCCAAACAGAAUUUAGAAGUUUAAAAUUUGCUAUGUUAUAGCCUAUGGCCAAUGCAUUGCUUCGUACUUUAAGCACAUUUACGAUUUAAUACAAACCACUUCACGUGGUAUCGUACGAGGCUUAUGUGCGCUAAAUGUUCUCGGCUUCCCGUUUCUGAAACGGGCUAGUAGAUGACAGUUAAUUAUUUUUAAGUUUAGAGAUGAUCUGUAGGUCCUCAUUACCUCGGUUUUCGUG
This is a long non-coding RNA of Paramacrobiotus metropolitanus, 1602 nucleotides long. RefSeq lists it as uncharacterized. The record is from RefSeq and is a predicted model, not a curated record. The transcript is spliced from 3 exons. Lineage: Eukaryota; Metazoa; Tardigrada; Eutardigrada; Parachela; Macrobiotidae.